RNAcentral lists this non-coding RNA (118 nucleotides) under Flavobacterium sp. Its description in RNAcentral is "SAM-I sequence". It matches the Rfam family "SAM riboswitch aptamer (S box leader)". From Rfam's summary of the family: The SAM riboswitch is found upstream of a number of genes which code for proteins involved in methionine or cysteine biosynthesis in Gram-positive bacteria. The SAM riboswitch acts at the level of transcription termination control. Lineage: Bacteria; Pseudomonadati; Bacteroidota; Flavobacteriia; Flavobacteriales; Flavobacteriaceae. The record is from RNAcentral.
AAGUUAUCACGAAAGGCGGAGGGAAAGACCCGAUGAAACCUUAGCAACCCUUUAUCUUUAAAGAAGGUGCUACAUUCUACUUUAUACUGAAUUAUUCAGCAUUUAAGAUAGAUAACAC